AGCUCCAAUAGCGUAUAUUAAAGUUGUUGCGGUAAAAAGCUCGUAGUUGGAUUUCUGUUGAGGGCGACCGGUCCUGUCAACGACAGCGUAUCUGGCGCGCGCUCGGCAUCCUCUCGAUAGACGUUUCUGCGCUUGAUUGCGUGGAGCGGAUCUCGGGACUUUUACUUUGAGGAAAUUAGAGUGUUCACGGCAGGCUAUCGCCAGAAUACAUUAGCAUGGAAUAAUACUAUAGGAUCUUGGUUCUAUUUUGUUGGUUUCUAGAAUUGAGAUAAUGAUUAAUAGGGACAAUUGGGGGCAUUCGUAUCAACACGUCAGAGGUGGAAUUCUUGGAUUGUGUUGCGACGAACUACUGCGAAAGCAUUUGCCAAGGAUGUUUUCA
Molecule: ribosomal RNA, 379 nt
Filed under: uncultured eukaryote
Lineage: Eukaryota
Description: SSU rRNA
Rfam family: Eukaryotic small subunit ribosomal RNA
Source: RNAcentral